This 847-nucleotide ribosomal RNA is filed under the name uncultured bacterium. RNAcentral describes it as "bacterial SSU rRNA". It matches the Rfam family "Bacterial small subunit ribosomal RNA", at positions 603 to 1444 of the family's 1533-position model. The record is from RNAcentral.
UCUGGNUCAGCUGGGGGCGUGCGGUGGGUACGGGCUGGCUUGAGUGCGGUAGGGGAGACUGGAACUCCUGGGGUAGCGGUGGAACGCGCAGAUAUCAGGAGGAACACCGGUGGCGAAGGCGGGUCUCUGGGCCGUUACUGACGCUGAGGAGCGAAAGCGUGGGGAGCGAACAGGAUUAGAUACCCUGGUAGUCCACGCUGUAAACGUUGGGCACUAGGUGUGGGGGGCCUUUUCCGGGUUUUCCGCGCCGUAGCUAACGCAUUAAGUGCCCCGCCUGGGGAGUACGGCCGCAAGGCUAAAACUCAAAGGAAUUGACGGGGGCCCGCACAAGCGGCGGAGCAUGCGGAUUAAUUCGAUGCAACGCGAAGAACCUUACCAAGGCUUGACAUGGGCUGGAUUGCUUCGGAGACGGGGUUUCCCUUUUUGGGCUGGUUCACAGGUGGUGCAUGGUUGUCGUCAGCUCGUGUCGUGAGAUGUAGGGUUAAGUCCCGCAACGAGCGCAACCCUUGUCUCGUGUUGCCAGCACGUUGUGGUGGGACUCGCGGGAGACUGCCGGGGUUAACUCGGAGGAAGGUGGGGAUGACGUCAAAUCAUCAUGCCCCUUAUGUCUUGGGCUUCACGCAUGCUACAAUGGCCGGUACAGUGGGUUGCGAUGCUGUGAGGCGGAGCGAAUCCCUGAAAGCCGGUCUCAGUUCGGAUCGGUGUCUGCAACUCGACACCGUGAAGUUGGAGUCGCUAGUAAUCGCAGAUCAGCAGCGCUGCGGUGAAUACGUUCUCGGGCCUUGUACACACCGCCCGUCACGUCAUGAAAGCUGGCAACACCCGAAGCCCGUGGCCUUAUGGGGAG